CCUACGGGAGGCAGCAGUGGGGAAUUUUGGACAAUGGGCGAAAGCCUGAUCCAGCAAUGCCGCGUGAGUGAAGAAGGCCUUCGGGUUGUAAAGCUCUUUUGUCAGGGAAGAAACGGUGAAAGCUAAUAUCUUUUGCUAAUGACGGUACCUGAAGAAUAAGCACCGGCUAACUACGUGCCAGCAGCCGCGGUAAUACGUAGGGUGCAAGCGUUAAUCGGAAUUACUGGGCGUAAAGCGUGCGCAGGCGGUUUUGUAAGUCUGAUGUGAAAUCCCCGGGCUCAACCUGGGAAUUGCAUUGGAGACUGCAAGGCUAGAAUCUGGCAGAGGGGGGUAGAAUUCCACGUGUAGCAGUGAAAUGCGUAGAUAUGUGGAGGAACACCGAUGGCGAAGGCAGCCCCCUGGGUCAAGAUUGACGCUCAUGCACGAAAGCGUGGGGAGCAAACAGGAUUAGAUACCCUGGUAGUCCACGCCCUAAACGAUGUCUACUAGUUGUCGGGUCUUAAUUGACUUGGUAACGCAGCUAACGCGUGAAGUAGACCGCCUGGGGAGUACGGUCGCAAGAUUAAAACUCAAAUGAAAUUGACGG
Molecule: ribosomal RNA, 586 nt
Filed under: uncultured bacterium
Lineage: Bacteria
Description: bacterial SSU rRNA
Rfam family: Bacterial small subunit ribosomal RNA
Source: RNAcentral